UCCCUGUCUUUAAUUUUAUUCUCAUUAUUUAAUGGAUGUAGUAGGAAAAGACAGCAUUUGCAGGGUGAGCCUCCAAGGAGCAGUGCUUGGAUGGAGCAGGUUCAGGCCUCUUGCAAUUUAACCUUCUUUUUCCAACCCAUGAUCAAAAGAGACUUGGACAAGAAUUUCUUUACUCUGUGACUUUUGUGGGCAAGGAACAAAAACAUACUCAGACCAGCUUCACCAAAAAGGCGGAAUUCACUUGAAUCACUAUUGAGCUAUGUUACAGAACACAGGAUACGCAGAGCAGAGCCAGAAAUCAAGGCCUUGUGGGGAUUCCCACAGCUGUGCUCUCCCUGUCGCUGCUUUUCUCUUUCCCUUAUCUCUGCACAGCUCUUUAUUUGUCUUACUUUGUCCGCAGACUAACUGUUGCUGCCUUUCUGUGCAUAGUCUCCUCUCCCAGUGUCUCUGGAACAACGGUCAUUGCCUCAACAACAGAACUUCAAAUGCUCACAACAGAAAAUCUUUGGGACUCAUGCCAAGCAAAGAAUUUCCUCCCUCUGGAUCAAGUGACUUCUUUUACCUCAUCAGUUGAAGUCAGUAGAAUGGGUAGGGUCACAUGAUAUAAACAUGACUUUAGGAACCCACAUCUGUCUAUGUGGAAUAGAUCUCAGAGAAGAGGAAUUCAAUUUGAGCAUGGCGGCACAUCCCUGUAAUCCCAGCACUUAAGGAAAAAAAAUCAGGCAAGAGGAGAGAGGAUUCAACGAGGCAGAAUCCUUCAGUUUUGCACUCCGUUCCAGUGCCUUAAUUUCCAUUUCUCUGCUUUAGCUCCUAAUAGCAGCUACAAACCUAUGGCACAUGUGCCAAAAGGGCUGUUUGUUAUCCCUGAAAGCUGCAAAAAGUUCACCAUCACUUCUUAGAAGAAAUACAGAGGGGAGAAAGACAAGAAAAUUCUCAUUUGUCCACUGAAAUUCAUGGCAUGAAGCAGUCAGAUACUUACAAGUACUCAGACAGAAUAAAGAAACGGCGGUGUAAGAGAGGAAAGUAGUGAUAAAAGCGGAUGAGACUAUUUACUUUCACAUUUUGUUUCCAAAGUGUUUAAAAAUUAUUGUUCCUAGAGUUCCAGAGUUCCGGCCAUGGAGGAAUUCGGGCAGCCUAAUUCACCCGCCCUCUCGGUAAGCGUCUGCAACGCAGGCCAGGAGGAGAACAGAGUUCCAGAGUUCCAGCCAUGGAGGAAUUCAGGCAGCCUAUUCACCUGCCCUCUUGUCUUUCUUUAAAUUCAGUUUUAAAAAGAAGACACUACAGUACCCAGUGCUGAUCAUGGAGCGUCAUGAAGUGAAAUCCAGCAAUACUAUUAUUCUUUGUUCAAAAUGAUUUUAACGUGAUUUAGUUUGUUUAAUCUAAACAUAAAUGAAGAUAUGGAUAACUGCGUGUAUGUUUAAAUGUAUAGGAUUGACAACCAUGUUACUAAGUUUUUGUUGGACAGUUGAUUAGAACUUUUUGCAGUCCCUCUAUUUGAAUUCCCACUUUACAUGUUCCAUUUUUGUACCUUGAACAACUAUUUGUAAAACGACAUCAACUAGUGAUUUCUUACUCUUUUUUUUUCUCUGCAUGUAUGUACUAUUUCUACCUAUUUUCUGUUUUGUUUAAUCUUUCUUUAAAUAAAAAAAAUUAUUGUUCCUUU
Long non-coding RNA from Cavia porcellus (domestic guinea pig), 1663 nucleotides. RefSeq lists it as uncharacterized. Lineage: Eukaryota; Metazoa; Chordata; Mammalia; Rodentia; Caviidae. The record is from RefSeq and is a predicted model, not a curated record. The transcript has 2 exons.